RNAcentral lists this long non-coding RNA (289 nucleotides) under Phasianus colchicus (ring-necked pheasant). RNAcentral describes it as "lncRNA (ENSPCLG00000021389.1)". Lineage: Eukaryota; Metazoa; Chordata; Aves; Galliformes; Phasianidae. The record is from RNAcentral.
GAAGAUUCUCCCUUUGGGUGUAUUUGGAGACCUCUGAUGCUUAAGACAGGUGUGCGAGAUGGACAGGACUGCUACCUUCAGUUUCUUAAUUACUGGGAGAUUCCAGGAGCCUACUUUCUCAGAAUGAUAUUACUGAGUCACUUUUAUUCAUGGGUGGAAGAUGUGAGCUCUGUGCUCCCAUGAUGAAGACAUGACAAGCAUCAGCACUGAUUAUCUGAAUCUGCCCUCAUCCUGUGGGGACAAAGUUGCAUAGCCAAGAGAAAGUUGGAGAAGUGGAAAUGUGGUGGGA